This 468-nucleotide ribosomal RNA is filed under the name uncultured bacterium. RNAcentral's name for it is "partial 16S ribosomal RNA". It matches the Rfam family "Bacterial small subunit ribosomal RNA", at positions 28 to 507 of the family's 1533-position model. The record is from RNAcentral.
GACGAACGCUGGCGGCGUGCUUAACACAUGCAAGUCGAACGGAAAGGCCCUGCUUUUGUGGGGUGCUCGAGUGGCGAACGGGUGAGUAACACGUGAGUAACCUGCCCUUGACUUUGGGAGAACUUCAGGAAACUGGGGCUAAUACCGGAUAGGAGCUCCUGCUGCAUGGUGGGGGUUGGAAAGUUUCGGCGGUUGGGGAUGGACUCGCGGCUUAUCAGCUUGUUGGUGGGGUAGUGGCUUACCAAGGCUUUGACGGGUAGCCGGCCUGAGAGGGUGACCGGCCACAUUGGGCCUGCGAUACGGCCCAGACUCCUACGGGAGGCAGCAGUGGGGAAUAUUGCACAAUGGGCGGAAGCCUGAUGCAGCAACGCCGCGUGCGGGAUGACGGCCUUCGGGUUGUAAACCGCUUUCGCCUGUGACGAAGCGUGAGUGACGGUACUGGGUAAAGAAGCACCGGCUAACUACGUG